GACGAACGCUGGCUGCGGGCUUAACACAUGAAAGCCGAACGAGGCAGCAAAGAAUUGAAGCUUCGGUAGAAAUUCAUUUCGGAUUAGUGGCAGACGGGUUAUUAACCUGUGAGCAACCUACCUCUUACAAAGGGAUAGCCCCCGAAAACCGGGAUUAAUACCAUGUAACAUUGCGACGAAGCAUUUCGAUUCAAUCAAAGUUACGGCGGUUAGACAUGGGCUCGCGCCCCAUUAACUAGAUGGUGAGGUAACGGCCCACCAUCAUAACGAUGGGUAACCGGCAUGAGACGGUGACCGGUCAGACUAGAACUGCAGCACGGUCCAGACUCCUACGGGAGGCAGCAGUGGGGAAUAUUGCACAAUGGACGGAACUCACAUGCAGCGAAGCCACGUGAGUGAUGAAGGAAUUCUGAUCGUAAAACUCUGUUCUAAGGGAAGAAGAGGACUCUACCGCAAGAGAAAGCUCCGGCUAAAUACGUG
This 480-nucleotide ribosomal RNA is filed under the name uncultured bacterium. Its description in RNAcentral is "partial 16S ribosomal RNA". It matches the Rfam family "Bacterial small subunit ribosomal RNA", at positions 28 to 507 of the family's 1533-position model. The record is from RNAcentral.